CACUUCAUAAAGUUUACUUUAAGAAGUGACUUAGUGGCGGACGGGUGAGUAACGCGUGGGUAACCUGCCUUACACAGGGGGAUAACAGUUAGAAAUGACUGCUAAUACCGCAUAAAACAGCAGAGUCGCAUGACUCAACUGUCAAAGAUUUAUCGGUGUAAGAUGGACCCGCGUCUGAUUAGCUAGUUGGUGGGGUAACGGCCCACCAUGGCGACGAUCGGUAGCCGGACUGAGAGGUUGAACGGCCACAUUGGGACUGAGACACGGCCCAGACUCC
This 277-nucleotide ribosomal RNA is filed under the name uncultured Eubacteriales bacterium. RNAcentral's name for it is "uncultured Clostridiales bacterium partial 16S ribosomal RNA". It matches the Rfam family "Bacterial small subunit ribosomal RNA", at positions 65 to 339 of the family's 1533-position model. RNAcentral also lists the same sequence under 1 other name. Lineage: Bacteria; Bacillati; Bacillota; Clostridia; Eubacteriales. The record is from RNAcentral.